UUGCAAACACUUCUCGAAUACUUGAAAAAUAAGCAGAGAAAGGAUCAACAUUUUUUUUAUGCCAUUCAAGUCGAUGAGAAAGAUGGUCGGAUUGCUAAUUUGUUUUGGGCAGAUGGCCAGUCUAUCAUGGAUUACGCAUGUUUUGGAGAUGCUGUAUCAUUUGACACUACGUUUCAAACUAAUAAGUUUGAAAUGCCUUUUGCUCCAAUCCUGGGAACCAACCAUCACAAGCAGACUAUAAUUUUCGGGGCAGCGUUGUUAUUUAAUGAGACCAUUGAGUCAUUUGUUUGGUUGUUUGAAACCUUUCUGACAGCAAUGUCAGGUAAGCAUCCAAGCACAAUUUUCACUGAUCAGGAUGCGGCCAUGGCAGGAGCAGUUGCAUAUGUGUUUCGAAAUACAAGUCAUCGACAUUGUCUAUGGCACAUUUAUCUUAAUGCCGCUAAACAUCUCGGACAUGUAAUUCAUAAGCAUCCUGAGAAGUUUCUACCUGAUUUUAAGAGAUGUGUCUAUGAAGAUAGAUCAGAGUAUAAGUUCAACAAGAAGUGGCAUGAAUUGUUGGAUCAGUACAACCUCCAGGACAACGAAGAAAGAAAGGUGCAAAGAGUAAACGGUCAAAAAUCUCCUUCGAGAAGAAGAAAGGGAAGAAAAAGAAUAGUACUAAAAAGAAAGGUACUGAUCCUACAUAUUCUAGCAAGCCUUUUCUAUUAUAUACUUCUAUAG
RNAcentral lists this ribosomal RNA (720 nucleotides) under Triticum aestivum (bread wheat). RNAcentral's name for it is "partial small subunit ribosomal RNA". Lineage: Eukaryota; Viridiplantae; Streptophyta; Magnoliopsida; Poales; Poaceae. The record is from RNAcentral.